GGAGUGGAGAGGAGGCGGCAGGCACCCCUGGCUGACACCCAGGGGCGGGCAAAGGUCCGAGGUGAGACCCUGGGCUCGGGAAGCUCAGAGUUGCCCGCAGCAGAGUGAUUAAGCCGAGGCUGGUGGCCGCAGGGGACAGUUGGUGCAGAGCUUGUAAGGUACCGGGGAGGCUGUACUUUGUCCUGGGGGGAUUGCGGAGCCCUGGCAGAGAUUAAAGAAAGGGAGGGACGUGGCCAGGUCUGCACGUGGCAGAGUUCCCCUGGAGAAGACGUGGAAGAUGUGCAGCCCGAGAGCAAGAAGAGAAUGGUCCCAGGAAAAGUCUGGAUUCGGGUUGGGGUGGGAGCAGGGCGGGAGUUGAGCCGCAGAAACAAGAGAGCUUGGUUUCCGCCGAGGCUGAGAAAGACGGAGAAGGUCCGAGCGCAGCCCGGAUCUCAGCCUAGUGGACCGUCAGGGAUGAGGGAGGACGGCUGGAUGAGGCGGCUGGCUGGAUGGCUUGGGGAGGGCCCCCAGGACCUACCCCAUCCGCCCCUGGCAGAAGGACCGGCUGCAGGCCCCUCUGGGGACACUAGAGGGAGCUCCAGGACAGAUUCAAGCUCCACUCUGCCUCAGUCACCCCCGCCACCCCUCCCUGAGGAGAACAGGACCCACCCCAUGCUCAGAUACAGGCUCGGGGUCCUGCUGGGGCCUGGUUGACCUCUAGUGGCUUCAAGGUCUCAGGGCCACCUUACCCUCCAGCCACCGGAUAUGCAUUGGGGAGGGGUCUUGGGGUGUGGACCGUGGGGCAGAGGUAGAGGACUGCAGGUGAGAAGUGCUAUAGCUUUUCCCAGGGAGGAGAGUGUGACUCCCAAGGUCACAUCACUGUCUGGCAGAGCUGAUCCCAGCCAGAUCUGCUGCCCCAGCUGGGGAGGAAGGGACAGAAUGGGCUCUCAAACUGCAGGAAGGUCUAGGGCCUUCCUGACCCUUCCCGGAAAACCUAGGUGAGAGGAGUCUCCCAUGAGCCACCUCCACACACCCUGAGGAAUGUUCUAGGAAUGUUCUAGGUCCUGGUGUGGUGGCGGUUUGGGGAAUGGGGCCGUGUGUAUACAGCUGCUGGGUCUGCAUGGUGCUCUGUAUGUCCUGGAAGUGCUCCAGUUCAGUGGGAGGCUGAGGCCCCUGCCUGUGGAGCUCAGCCUCUCCUCCGUUUGGGGUCAAAGCUGGCCAAAUGGGAUUGGGACUUCAGCUGGGGCUGCAGCCAGGGCUGUCUGAGUGCAGGAUCAUGAAUCAGUCUCUCCCUAGGAUCAGGGUUCAGGCUGGUGUCCUGCCUAAACUGAGCCUGGCUCCUGGUGAAGGUGCUGCUGAGGUCUCCCUAUGGGAAUCGGGUCUUCACUGCUGCAGGAGCGAAGGCACCCACACAUCACUCACCCAGCAGGAGGGCCAACACCCGGUGCCUGGAGCUCAGGAGGGGCUGGGGCUCCAAGGGAGAACCUGCUUCCCACAGCCGGCUCAGUCCAGAAGGGAAGCAGACAUUGAGCAGUGAAUUGCAGUGGAUCCAGAGCCAGCCAUGGAUGGGGGGGGGGGUGCAUUCCAGGCAGAGUUUGCGUCCCAGGCCAGGGAGGAGGGAGGCGGAGGCUGGCACAGCAUCCAGGAAUGGGACAUGUGCCUGAGCACAGAGCUAUAAGGUGGCUCCCAGGCAGCUGGAGAGAAGGGGGACCUCUGGAGGUCCCCAUGCGUCGGGAAGUGGGGUGAGCCUCGGGAGACCUCCUGCAGGCCGGUGGCAGAGUGGAGCAGUUUGACAGUCUCGAGGGACCACUCCAGCGGUGGAGGGAGGAGUGGCGGGAGACCAAUUUUUUGGAAAAGUGAUUGAAGUCUCUGCCUGAGUCUAAAUGGCACACUCUUUUAAAAUUUUAUGAAAACAAAAAAUGAGUAACAAAUGGAGACACGGAAAUAGGAACCCCUUUCCUAUUAAUCCAGAUGGGAAGAGCAGGCCCAGGCCCAGCUAGGCCAAGAGGACUUGACUAACCUGGAGGGAAACGCUCCAGAAGGCCCACAGCGCUCGCUGAAAGCCGACUCCCCAGCUGACCUGAGCACCCCGAAUCUGAGGCCCCCUUGGAUGCCAGUUCCCAUUGCCCAGGAGGAAAACUGAGGCUCAGGGAGUGACAGGAAAGGACCCUGUCUGCACAGUCCCUGCAGGUCCACCGCCACACACUCACCAGACACGCACACAGACGCACGCACGAGCUCGUGAGUACACGCAGCAGCCCCCGCAGCCCCAGUGCACGUGGUUUGAGCAGAGCAGCCCCAGUGCGUGCCUGCACUGGGCACUGUGGCACUGGUCAGCAAGAGGGUCCUGCAGCGGGAGCCCAGCCUCGCCUCUGUGGGGGAACCCCAGACCGCCCAGUGCUGCCCCCUGUGCCAGGCCACAGCCACUGGAGCCCAGGAGGAGCCAGGGUUGGUUGGUUCCUAGUGUGUGACAAGGCAGAUCAGAGGGGCCAGCUGCCACUGUCCUCGCUCCCCAGGGGUGUGUGUGUGUGUGUCUGUGUUUUGCUGAGGAGCAGGGCAGUAGUGUAGGGCCCACAUCAAGUCAGAAGGCGAGGGUUCCUCGGCUCAGUGGUUCCGGGUGCCUGCCUGCCUCCUGUCCUCUGCUGUCUAAUAAGGACCUUUUGUGAAUCAGACAAAACAAGACACAGCCUCUGCCCUCUGGAAGUGCAGUCCCGGGUUGAGCUGUCACCGUACACACGUGACUGUGGCUGGGAGGCCUCAGAGAGGCAGCUUCCAUUCUGGCUGUGGGAUGGUGACUGAUUCAUGGCCUUCUCUGAGCCUCAGUUUCCUCAUCUGGAAAGAGGGGCCAUCCUUUUCCCAACCACUGGUUGGAUUUGCUUUUCGGAUUACAUACGAUGCUGGAUGUGCAAUAUUUUGGGAAGAAAAGGGAACAUGUGAGUUAGAUCAGAGUCAGGUGUCAAUGUCGCUGAUGCUCGGAGGUCCGUGGUAGAGGAGUGUGGAUGAGUUCACAGGCCUAGUCAGAGAGGCCUGGCUGGGUUUAAAUUCCUGCUGUGCCAGGACUAGCUGUUGGAGAUGGAGCAGUCUAUUGAAGCUCUCUGGGCCUCUGUCUUUGAGUCUGUAACAGGGACAUAAUAAUAAUGCACAUUACAUGGGAUGUGCUGCAGGAUAGUGUAUGUAAAACUUUUAACUGGGCCUGCCACAAAGUACAUGCUCAGUUUAGUCAGUUCCUACUGUUAUUUCUAAGUUUUCAGUUAUUCAUUCAGUGAAUGCUUACUGAGCAUUUACUAUGAGGCAGGCACAAUUCUAGGCACUCUCCAAAUUCUCUCAAUCCUUCUAACGACUCUAUUAUUACCCCCAUUUUACAACCAUGCAAACUGAGGCACAGUGAGGUCCAGUCACUUAUUCAAGGUCACACAGCUGGUAGGAAUUGGAACCUAGGUCUGUUGGUCUCUUUAAAUCCAGCUUUGAGUCAUGUACUUCCCCUUUAUAGUUCAAAGUCCUCCCCUCUCCCCAGCAGCAGCCCCUGUUAAAUAAAUCAUCCAGUAACGGUUUCUAAUUCCCAGACUUGGUUGCAAAUGAAUUAUUCACAUUGUAAGGCCUGCAAACCGCAAACUGGGCCUCAUUACCCAAGAAGGCCGCCUGCCCACAAGAUGCCGCUCCCUCCCCUGGGCUCCGGUCCUGGCGGGCCAGUCAGAAGUUGCCAGAGUUGGCGGGCGGGCGCCAGGGCCCAGUCCCUGAGCUCUGCUCCUGGAACUGGGAGGGGGGGUUUCCCUCCCCAUUUCCCAGCCUUUGCUUUCUAACAAGCUCCCAGUCUUAGGUUAAGAGAAGACCUGGGUUCUAGUCCCAGCUCUGCCCUGAGCAGCUGCGUGACCUCAAGCAGGUGGCUUACCCUCUCUGAGCUUCCAAGGCAGGCUAAGCUUGCCCUCACUGGGGCACAGGGCCCCACUUGACACAUUCUCUUCUAUCUGUGGGCUGAGGCUUGUGCCACCUGGCCAGGCCCUGUCCUGGACGCUGAGGAAAAAGCUUCUGUCCAGCAUGUGAAUGAAACUGUGGCAUGAGUCAGAGCCCAGGCCGAUCCUAGAAGGUGCUGUCUCCAGAGAUCCUCUGCAGGGCACAGCUGCUGCGACUGUUGACUGCUGGUUCCUCCCGGAGUUGUGCCCUACUGCCUGGGGCGACCCUUGGCCAGGGACUGACCAGUGUCAGGUGCUACAAACGCCUGCCUCCACCGGAACAAUUGUGAAGGACCAGCCACUCGCAGGGUCCCCACAGGGGCCUCUGGUGCGAGCUCAUUGUGGGUCAGUUUCUCCUGCAUCUCCCCACUGCCUUCCCGGUGGAUCUGCUGCGGGCACAGCCCAGGAAACCCUCAGCUCAGAGGCUGGAGACUCGUCACAGACAGGGCCAGUCCUGGCACUCAAUGAGACCCGAUCCAAAUCACCAGCAGAUUCCUAACUCCCAGGCCGGCUGAGCCUAGUUUCUGCCCCAGCCAAGCCCAGAUCCCAGUCCCAGGUUGAGCCCUGACGUCAGUCACAGGCUGAAUCCAGAUGCUAACUGAUCCCUAAUCUUAUUGCAGACUAAGCGCUGAUCUCGAUCCCAGGCUGAUCUCCAGGCCUGUUCCAAGUUCUGAUCCUGAUCAGAUUGAGCCCAGCGUUCACAGAAAGCAGGGCACCUAUGGAGACCCAUGGAGAUGGGACAGAGGGUGGUAAGUGGGAGACAGGAGGAGCCUGGAGUCCAGGUUAGACUGAGAACAGAACCAGACUAACAGCCCGUCAGCCAGAAGACCAGAGGCCCAGAACUUCAGUUCACAGAGAGGUCUUCUCCAAAAACACCCAAACAGGGGUUUCCUCUUGGUGGAAGAACCAAAAUCUGAACCAAGGAUGGUAAGAAGGCUCCUCAGAGCUGCCAUUCUGGAGCAGGGUGGGUGUCCCAUGCAUUAAGCCACGGUAUUCCUCUGGGUCCCCACUGCCCCUCAGAAUAACCCUGUGGAUUGAAUUAUUACCCAUUUUACAGAAAAGAGAGUUGAGGCUCGAGAAGCAAAUGACCUGCCUCUUGCCUCCGUCGUGGGAGAAUCAGCACUCGGGCCCUUGACCUCCCUGUACUUUGGUGGGGUCUAGGUGCAGGCAGUUACAGUCUCCUGAAGAGAGGCCUAGGGCUUGCAGUCCCUCUGCCACGCGACUUAGCUGUUGGCUAAGUCCUGAGCCUGCCCAAGGCAGGAGAGGAGCCAGGGAAGAGAAAGGUUGGUCCCUGAGACUGUUGAUGUGGCUAGUUCCGGCCCCAGCCCCAGGCAGGGCCUCCCACUCAUAUAAAGUGGUUCCAUCCCCUUCUCCCCCGGCAGGCGCUGGCUAGCAUGGCAGGUGAGGAAACUGAGGUCCAGAAAGGGGAUCCCACUUGUCGGGCUCACAGAGCUGAGACCUGCCCCCAGAACCCCCAUGCUCGGCCUCCCGCCCUGUGUUCCUUCACCUGCACAGGAGAAUGAAGGCCGUCCAUCACCCCUCGUCCAUCCAUCGUCCACCUACCCGCCCCCCGGGUCAGCAGCCGGUCCGUAGCGUCCUCCGUGUGCCAAGUCUGGGCAAAUUCCGCAGGCGGAGUGGAGACCCGAGGCAGAGCCCGUGGACUCUCAGGGGACCCACAGAUUAAACAAACAUGCCGCAGAAAGCAGAAAGAAACGCAUCGCCGAGUGCUGAGAGCCGCCCAGGAUGUAACCAGGCCUCUCCCUCUCGGGGUGCUCCCGGCCCCAGGGAGCUCCAGGCAGAAACCCUGCAGAGAGCACCCAGGGCUUAGCCUCAGGGGACAGGGGCUUCGAGAAAAGCAGGAAUACUCCCCCAGGGAGUCAGGCAGCUUGGUGAGGCUGCAGCCAGGCCACCUGACCACUGCGACCACUGACCACUGCGAGGAGAAGCCCUCCAGGGGGCCUUGUCUGCAGCAGGAGGUGAGAGAGAGGGGGAGAGACAGUGUGCUGUGGGGUCUUUGGCAAGCCUGCCCCUGGAUUCACUUUGUGAGCCAUCCAGCUGGUGCCGGAAGCCUCCAGGAACCGCAUGGGAGCUUUAGGAGAAAUAAUGAGAGUGGUUAUUUCAGGAGGAGGAACAGCGUGAGCAGACGGGUGGAGGUGGGGAACAGCAGGCAGACCCAGGAAGGCGGAGCGAGGAGACAAAACAGAGGAGAGCCCAAAGUCCAGCCCGUGGCGACAUCAUGGCACCCUGGGGAGGCUCUGCUCCCACCACACACCAGUGUGGAUAUCUGCUGCCCGUCACAAGCUGACUGUGUGCCCAGAGAGGCUCACAUGUGUGCCCUCGAUCCAGGAAGAGCAUUACUGUUAGAGCCCAUUUUAUGGCAGGAAAAUCGAGGUCAGGAGAAGUUAGAAUCUGCCUCCCAGGAAGGUGUGAAGUGAAGGAUACAGCCCCAUGGCGUCGGCCACACGGCCCAGCCCCUUCACUCCCCUGCGUGCCCACAAGACAGCCAGAGGAGAUCUGCACAGGUGUCGGCAAGUCCUGUGCAGCUCCACCUGCGGUCUCUCCCACUAAACCGGAGCUCAUUUGCCUCGGUCAUCCCGGGCUCCAACACGGGCCCUAAAUCAGUGCCGAGGACAUCGUGGGGGUAAACCAUCAACAUGGGGCCCCUGCGUGGUUGAUACUGCCUUGUUCCCAUUGCACAGGUGGGAAAAUGGAGUCCCAGAGAGCAACGGGGGAGCUGUAAUUCACCAGGCUACGAGCAUCUAAAUCAAUGAACUAAUUAAUGAGUAAACGAGCGUGAGUAAUGACGAAUGGCUGACCUAGAGGGUGGGAGGGGAGGCCAUUGGAGGAGUGAGAGACUGCAGGGGCACAGCCGGGUGACCGGGAGAGUGAGGUCCUCCUUCCUCCCAUCCGUACCUCGGUCCACCUCCAGCUUCCAGGAAAAAGGCCCCUUUGCUGUCCUCUCAGGGAGAAUCCAGACUCUCUGCCAGGCUGUUGCCUAGCAACAGUGCCCUGCCUGGCCAGCCCCGCCCUCUCAGUGGGCCAGGGCCAGGGUGCGCAGCCAACCCGGGGGCCUGGCCACUGGCAGGCAGGGAACGGGGGACCCGGGCUCCCAAGCUGAGGACAAGGAUGUCAGAGAUCGGGGAGGAGGCUGGGGUGGGCCUGAGGCCGGGCCAGGACCCCCCGAGGAAAGACCACGUGGAGCAGCCGUGACUCUGGCACAGGUCCCGGAACAGGGAGGGCGGAUGCAGGAUCCCACAGGCCUUGAGUCUCAAGUCCUGGGUUUGAGUGGACCCUGGAGCAGUCACUUCCCUCCACGGCCGGCGUGAGGAGGGAAGGCGCACAGCGGGCUUGGAGCAAGCAGGCUGCUUUCAUAAGCAACGAGGGGACAGGACGAUGUGCCCGCAGCCCUGGGUCUGCAGGGCCCCUGGGGAGCAGCCCCUCUCCGGCCAGGCCCUGAAGGACUUCUCCAGGUGGAAAUGGGGUGAGGAGAGGGGCAAUUCCUGGCGGAGGGAACAACCCCAGCGAAGGCUGGGAGCCUGAAGCUGAAGUGCAUCUCAUAAUACCUCAUGUUUGCGAAUGGCCAGGCACAUUUGCAUUGAACCCUCACCGCAGGCCACGAGGCUGGAACGUGUGCUCCCAUUUUGCAGGAAAGGGAGUGUGGGCUCAGAGACCAGCAGGGGUACUGGGGGUCACACAGCAGGUGAGCCAACUCCAGCUGCCUUUCCCCUGAAUUCCUCACAGGAAGAAGAGGCUCACCUAGGGGGAGCAAGAGUGAGAAAUGUGGCCACACAGUGUGCAGGGACACCCUGUGUGCGACUGGAAGCACGGUGAAUUUCGAAAUCUGGGCAGGGGCAAUGGGGAGCCACUGAUGGUUUCUGAGCUGGGAGAGGAUGGCCCAGGCCAGGUCCUCAGGUCCCUCGGUGCUGCCCCGGGGCCAUCUGUCUCCACCUCCUACACUCUGCCACUCUUUGCAUCCAUGUCCCCCACCCUCCGCCCCCACUGCCUCUCAGCCACUGUGAGGAACCAUGUGUGACGGUGGAGAAUGUAAAAAUAUACGAAAAACAACAAGGGCGACUGCGCUCGGCUAUAAAUACCCUGACGGCGGAAUCGCUCCUCCAGUCCCCUUCCUGCUGCCUGAGGAGCGGGGGCUUGGUGUUCGGCAGGUGGAGAGGGGGACUCAGGAAGGGAGGAAGGAACGGGAAUGACCGCUUGCAGACCUACUUUGUGCCAAGCGCUUUGCAAGCCUUGUCCUCACGAAACCCUGACAGUGACUCACUCCUGAUCCCCUCUUUACAGAUAAGGAAACUGAAGCACGAGAAGUAGGUCAUCUGGCCAAGGCCACUCAGUCACACGGCCUGGGAGGGAGCCGGGCAGCUGGAGCUCCUGCAAGCUCCGCCUGGCGGGAGAGGCCAAGUCGGCCUCCGGCCAGCUCUGCAAGCAGAGGAGGCCGCCUGGGGUCCCUCCAAGGUCCGAGAGGGCCCACGGUCCCAGGUGCCCGCGGCUUCCACCCCUUCCAUGGCUCCCCAUCGCCCUGGGCCAAAGGACAUGCUCCUGGGUGCGGCCCUGGGGUGCUGUGGUCUGCCCUCUGCCCACGUCCCUGUGGGUGCCCGGGUCUCUGAGCCACGGCCACGUGGACCCUCUAAGGGGAGCUUCACAGGACUGAGCCUCUCUCUGUCGGUCCUUGCCACUUCAUUUUCCGGGGCUAGGUCACCCUUGGUGCCACCUCCUCAGGGAAGACACCAGGCUUCCUCCACUGCCCUGAGGGCCCUCCCCCAGGACCCCAGGCCCGGUCCCAAUCUUGAGGGCUUCUCAGUGGCCAGGGGAGGAAAGUGCCUCCUCUGGUGAGUGACCAGGGCUGUGGUGGCAGCAGUGUGACCUGGCCUUGGAGACCGGCUGGAGGUGUGGGGUGCAGGGCCCUGGAGGGGAGUCAGCACUGGGGCGCUGGGAAGAGGAAAGAAAAUGGAGGCGGGAGGGACAGGAAGGGACUCCUGGGGCCCCUGCUGGGGGACGCACAGGGUGCUGACUGAGGACAGAAAUGAACUGGCUCCAUCUCUGGGCCUUCAUCCUGCUCCCGGCCCAUUCCCCCUCUGGCCAGGGGGCUGAAAGGCGAGUGGGAGGUUGUUCCCUUCAGGCCGUCCCCCCCCCCACCCCAGGGCCAGCGCAGCCCACGGAAAGAUCGCGGGAGCCGCUGGAGCAAGUUGGAAUUUUAACUUUCCAGGAGUCCCUUUUUAAAAAAAUAAAGGAAAAGCAAAUUGAAGUUAGUUUUAACAUUUUAUUUAACCCAAUAUGCUCCAAAUAUUCUUUCUAUAUAUGAUCAAGAUAAAAAAUUAUUGAGACAUGUUCCUUUCUUUUUUUUUUAAUACUAAGUCUUCUAGAUCCAGUGUGUGUUUUACACUGACCACCCUCAGUGUGGAGCAGCUGUGGGUCCACUGCCCAGUAGCCACGUGGCCAGCAGCUGCUGUACUGGACCGCACGGCUCUGGAUGUGAAGCCCCUGAGAGUCAGGACUGUGAUGAGACCCACCAUUAUGAUCUCCAGGGUCUGGUGCAUAGGGGAUGGUCAGGAGGUGUUUGUUGAUUGACUGACUGAAUGAAUCAAUGUCCAAGAUCUUAAAGGACCUAAAGGGAGGCUGUCAACUCAGGCCAUGGGAAGAGCGUGGAGAUGAGUCUAGUCUCACAUUCGUCUCCAAUUCUCUGAGUCCUGCCCCUCCCCAGACCACAGUUCCCCCAUCUGGGUUGGAUGUGGUGACUUCUCUGAGCUCUCUCUAGAGGAAUGUCCCCUCAGUGUCCCUGCCCUGCUCCACCUCACGACCCUGUCCUCCCUCUCCCUGUGUGUGAGACGAGGUCUCUGGAAAGGCCCCGGGUGACCUUCUGUACAGAGGGGACCAGACCCCACAGGGGGAAGCUGAGGAAGAGCAGCUGCCACACACGGCCUGGGCACAGGGAACGAGGACCUGUGGGUGCUGACACCUCCGUCACCCCACACCCCACAGGGGUCCAGAGCUGGGAGGAGAGUGGGGCCGGCUUGUCGCUCUGAUUCUGCAGGAGUGAAACAGGAGGGCCAAGGGGCCAGAGAGCAGGUCCCGGGGCAGGAGAGGACUGACCCUUUGCCUGGGAACCCUGUUUUCCUCCUCCAAAGUCUGGGUACAAAACCUGGCUUCUUCCUGUCAGCGCCUCGAAUCCAGGUUCCGCUACCUAACAGCCCGCUGGCCUUGGAAAGACGCUUUACUUAGCCUCAGUGGCCUUAUUUGUUCAAGGGAUCCUAAUAUCAGCAACCACAGGAAUCUCUGAGCCCUUGAAACGUGUCCCCACACAGGAGCCCACGGGGUGCCUGGGACACGGUCAGGGCACCUUGAGGCCAUCGUGAACUCCAG
RNAcentral lists this long non-coding RNA (10301 nucleotides) under Marmota monax (woodchuck). The record is from RNAcentral. Lineage: Eukaryota; Metazoa; Chordata; Mammalia; Rodentia; Sciuridae.